RNAcentral lists this small nuclear RNA (166 nucleotides) under Salmo salar (Atlantic salmon). Its description in RNAcentral is "U1 spliceosomal RNA". It matches the Rfam family "U1 spliceosomal RNA". Rfam says of the family: U1 is a small nuclear RNA (snRNA) component of the spliceosome (involved in pre-mRNA splicing). Its 5' end forms complementary base pairs with the 5' splice junction, thus defining the 5' donor site of an intron. The record is from Rfam by way of RNAcentral. Lineage: Eukaryota; Metazoa; Chordata; Actinopteri; Salmoniformes; Salmonidae.
AUACUUACCGGCAAAGGGAGACACCGUGAUCAAGAAAGGUGGUUCACCCAGGGCGAGGUUUAGCCAUUGCACUCCGGCUCUGCUGACCCCUGCGAAUUUCCAAAAUGUGGAAAUCUCGAUUGAAUAAUUUGUGGUAGUGGGGGACUGGCGUUCGCGCUCUCCCCUG